UACGAAGGGGGCUAGCGUUGUUCGGAAUCACUGGGCGUAAAGGGCGCGUAGGCGGCCGUUCAAGUCGGGGGUGAAAGCCUGUGGCUCAACCACAGAAUGGCCUUCGAUACUGUUUGGCUUGAGACCGGAAGAGGUCAGUGGAACUGCGAGUGUAGAGGUGAAAUUCGUAGAUAUUCGCAAGAACACCAGUGGCGAAGGCGGCUGACUGGUCCGGUUCUGACGCUGAGGCGCGAAAGCGUGGGGAGCAAACAGG
This 253-nucleotide ribosomal RNA is filed under the name uncultured bacterium. RNAcentral's name for it is "partial 16S ribosomal RNA". It matches the Rfam family "Bacterial small subunit ribosomal RNA", at positions 524 to 776 of the family's 1533-position model. The record is from RNAcentral.